Long non-coding RNA from Catharus ustulatus (Swainson's thrush), 913 nucleotides. RefSeq lists it as uncharacterized. The record is from RefSeq and is a predicted model, not a curated record. The transcript is spliced from 3 exons. NCBI's taxonomy places the organism in Eukaryota, Metazoa, Chordata, Aves, Passeriformes, Turdidae.
CACAGGGUGUGAUUGCUGGGGUGUCCUGUGCAGGGCUGAGAAUUGGAUUCGGUGGCUCCUGGGCGUCCCGUAGGACGGUGGUUCCGUGGCCAGGGAGCAGCAUAGCUCAGCCCCACGACUCCCCCUCGCCCUUGUUUUUUGGUUAAAGUUGGGCAGUCGGGGAAGGUAGGAGAGGAUGCUGCCACAGUUCCCUCAGCACCCCCAGAAAGACCCUUUGGGCCCAGACAGCAGCAGUGCAUUUUGUCUUGUCCUUGCAGUCAUAAGUCCCUUGUGUGUGCUUUUUAUAGAUUAACUUCUCCAGUUUUCUUCUUUCUGUCUCAUCCCACCUCAGCAACCACAAACAUCAUCACCUCCAAACCAACUCUGUGGUGGUCUCCAGCCUACAGAGACCCCUGGCCCCGGCACAGAAGCAGCUCAGGGCAGAGACUUCACAGCCCCAUCCAGAGAACUUGAACCUUCACAAAACCACUCCAGGCAUAACAGAAGCAAAUCCAGGAAUUUUGGAGCUGAUUAAGAACAGUACAGUCAUCUUGUUCAUGACCUUCACUAUUUGUAAGACAGGCAAAACUCAGAAUAUAUCACAUUUGAACAACUUGCCAGCUAGUCAAGCCUAGCAGAAGGAAAGUGGCAAUUUUCAAGUUCAAAAAGCAAGUCAAGAGUCCAAUGUAGCAAUGACAGCUGCCUUUGUGGGGAGUCUGUUUGUCCAUGUGCUGAAUUCCAGUGAAUUUCAAAUAGCCCUGGUCAAAGUGCAAAGAUCCCUCCUCUUUGAGCUGACUGAAGACCUGGGGACAAACUAAUCAGGUCUGAUCCAAGGUCCACUGUGCAUUUCCAGGGAGCAACUAUUGUCAAAUAAAUGCCAUCAUUGAAAUCUGAUCAGGACAGAGGUCUAUUUAAAAACUCCUCAUCUUCCCUC